UACGUAGGUGGCGAGCGUUGUCCGGAAUUAUUGGGCGUAAAGGGCGUGUAGGCGGGAUAUUAAGUCUUAAGUAUAAAUGCGGGGCUCAACUCCGUAUUGCUUCAGAAACUGAUAUUCUUGAGUUAAGGAGAGGAAAGUGGAAUUCCCAGUGUAGCGGUGAAAUGCGUAGAGAUUGGGAGGAACACCAGUGGCGAAGGCGGCCAUCUGGAUCAACACUGACGCUGAGGCACGAAAGCGUGGGGAGCAAACAGG
RNAcentral lists this ribosomal RNA (252 nucleotides) under uncultured bacterium. RNAcentral's name for it is "partial 16S ribosomal RNA". It matches the Rfam family "Bacterial small subunit ribosomal RNA", at positions 524 to 776 of the family's 1533-position model. The record is from RNAcentral.